This 1351-nucleotide unclassified non-coding RNA is filed under the name Hevea brasiliensis (rubber tree). Lineage: Eukaryota; Viridiplantae; Streptophyta; Magnoliopsida; Malpighiales; Euphorbiaceae. The record is from RNAcentral.
UGUGGUUGGCUUCUACAUCAACUGAUGAUGAGAUGACAUCUGAGAGGUCAUUUUCUGGCUGUAUCCUCAAAGUUUAUUGUGACUUCCUAUUAUUUUUGCUUUUGGUAGCCAGGUUGAGUCACCAACUCGGCUAGUUGAUCCAUUACUUAAUUCAUACAGUGAUUUUUAAGACAGUGCAUAUGGCAACCAGCCUAGCUAUCUGGUAUCUUAUGAACAGCACUUUUUGAGCUAUAUCUGACCAAUUUGAACUGUGAUUUUAGGUCUAGCUUGGAUUUCUCGUGAGCCUUGUAUUUUUGCUUCGUCAUCUUAUGAUGGAAGAGUAAGACGCUUAUCAUUUAUCAUAGGGAGAAACAGUAGAAAUAAAAUUUUAUUCUCUUGUGGAGGAAAAAUAAACUUAGCAACGAUACUGUAGGAUUUGUGGCUGGUAGCUGAUUGACUGAAGAAACUGUCCUAAGCAAACACAAGUUGAUAUUGUCAUGUUCUCAGUCACAAUAUGGGGAUUUUUUUUUUGACACCCGACCGAUAGAUCUUACUUUAGGGAGUGAGAUUGCAUGAGGAACUGAUCCAUUACAUGUCAACGCUCUUUCAACGAUUUGUUCAUGUAUCAUAGGUAGUUGUAGAAUCAGUAAAGCCUUUCCUCUACAAAAAGUGAAUUCACUAUAGUCUGCCCUUGUGCGACAACUCUCUUCUGGUUUUUCCACUACCUAAUGUAAAUUGUUAGAUAGGACCACGCAGAAGAACCAGACCUAAAAUAUGAUAUUGGAGGGUACCAUAGUGGCUCAACAAGAUGGAAUUGAUGCAAGUGGCCAUUGAAAUAAAGAUGGCCACUGAUUCUUUCUCCUUUCAUUUCAAGCUUUAUUCUUAUUUCGGACGUCGGGCUUAGGGAAGCAAAUUAAUGGAUUGCUGAAUAUAACCAUUUUCUUUUGUAGGCCAGCCCCUUCUUUAUUCGCCAUUGUUUGGCUAUUUACAAGCAUUGUGCUCUUGUGGAUGUCUCCGUUUAAUGUGAACGCGGUCUCCGUUAUUGUUUUUGAGAGAUACAUGUACAAGACAAGAUCAAGAUGUCCCUCUAAGAAAAGAGUCCAGUACGCAAGACCUGCCACCCAUGUUCUUUUCCUCGUUUCAUUUAUGAAAGUAACAUGAUUUAUAUUUGUUGCUAUUUUCAAAUAUAAAUGGUGCAAUUUUCUUAAAAAAAUGCAAUUGAAUUUAUUGAAAAGCCAAAAUUGUUAUAUUGCUAAGGCAACAUCACUUCCUCCGAGAGAUUGCCUUUUUGUUUUGCUGAUCUUGAAUAUGUCUAUUAAGAACUUAUUUUGUGCCACCGUUGUUUGUAUAAUAAAUAUAUUCUAAUUAUUAA